GCGUUCUGUAAGCCUGUGAAGGUGUGCUGUGAGGCAUGCUGGAGGUAUCAGAAGUGCGAAUGCUGACAUAAGUAACGAUAAAGCGGGUGAAAAGCCCGCUCGCCGGAGGACCAAGGGUUCCUGUCCAACGUUAAUCGGGGCAGGGUGAGUCGACCCCUAAGGCGAGGCCGAAAGGCGUAGUCGAUGGGAAACAGGUUAAUAUUCCUGUACUUGGUGUUACUGCGAAGGGGGGACGGAGAAGGCUAUGUUGGCCGGGCGACGGUUGUCCCGGUUUAAGCGUGUAGGCUGGUUUUCCAGGCAAAUCCGGAAAAUCAAGGCUGAGGCGUGAUGACGAGGCACUACGGUGCUGAAGCAACAAAUGCCCUGCUUCCAGGAAAAGCCUCUAAGCAUCAGGUAACAUCAAAUCGUACCCCAAACCGACACAGGUGGUCAGGUAGAGAAUACCAAGGCGCUUGAGAGAACUCGGGUGAAGGAACUAGGCAAAAUGGUGCCGUAACUUCGGGAGAAGGCACGCUGAUAUGUAGGUGAAGUCCCUCGCGGAUGGAGCUGAAAUCAGUCGAAGAUACCAGCUGGCUGCAACUGUUUAUUAAAAACACAGCACUGUGCAAACACGAAAGUGGACGUAUACGGUGUGACGCCUGCCCGGUGCCGGAAGGUUAAUUGAUGGGGUCAGCGCAAGCGAAGCUCUUGAUCGAAGCCCCGGUAAACGGCGGCCGUAACUAUAACGGUCCUAAGGUAGCGAAAUUCCUUGUCGGGUAAGUUCCGACCUGCACGAAUGGCGUAAUGAUGGCCAGGCUGUCUCCACCCGAGACUCAGUGAAAUUGAACUCGCUGUGAAGAUGCAGUGUACCCGCGGCAAGACGGAAAGACCCCGUGAACCUUUACUAUAGCUUGACACUGAACAUUGAGCCUUGAUGUGUAGGAUAGGUGGGAGGCUUUGAAGUGUGGACGCCAGUCUGCAUGGAGCCGACCUUGAAAUACCACCCUUUAAUGUUUGAUGUUCUAACGUGGACCCGUGAUCCGGGUUGCGGACAGUGUCUGGUGGGUAGUUUGACUGGGGCGGUCUCCUCCUAAAGAGUAACGGAGGAGCACGAAGGUUGGCUAAUCCUGGUCGGACAUCAGGAGGUUAGUGCAAUGGCAUAAGCCAGCUUGACUGCGAGCGUGACGGCGCGAGCAGGUGCGAAAGCAGGUCAUAGUGAUCCGGUGGUUCUGAAUGGAAGGGCCAUCGCUCAACGGAUAAAAGGUACUCCGGGGAUAACAGGCUGAUACCGCCCAAGAGUUCAUAUCGACGGCGGUGUUUGGCACCUCGAUGUCGGCUCAUCACAUCCUGGGGCUGAAGUAGGUCCCAAGGGUAUGGCUGUUCGCCAUUUAAAGUGGUACGCGAGCUGGGUUUAGAACGUCGUGAGACAGUUCGGUCCCUAUCUGCCGUGGGCGCUGGAGAACUGAGGGGGGCUGCUCCUAGUACGAGAGGACCGGAGUGGACGCAUCACUGGUGUUCGGGUUGUCAUGCCAAUGGCACUGCCCGGUAGCUAAAUGCGGAAGAGAUAAGUGCUGAAAGCAUCUAAGCACGAAACUUGCCCCGAGAUGAGUUCUCCCUGACCCUUUAAGGGUCCUGAAGGAACGUUGAAGACGACGACGUUGAUAGGCCGGGUGUGUAAGCGCAGCGAUGCGUUGAGCUAACCGGUACUAAUGAACCGUGAGGCUUAACCUU
This 1710-nucleotide ribosomal RNA is filed under the name Escherichia coli DEC5A. RNAcentral describes it as "bacterial LSU rRNA". It matches the Rfam family "Bacterial large subunit ribosomal RNA", at positions 1236 to 2925 of the family's 2925-position model. The record is from RNAcentral. Lineage: Bacteria; Pseudomonadati; Pseudomonadota; Gammaproteobacteria; Enterobacterales; Enterobacteriaceae.